UUAAAACAAAACAAAAAAAAAUUGAUGGACAAAAAAUGGUGUGAGUGCAGGGGGCGCCAGGGUGCCCUUCAGGGGGCGCUGGGGAGCGACAAGUGCAGAACAGUGGCUGCAAAGUGUGUCUGGCAGUGGCAGGUGGCGCCGAGGCGCCCUAUAGGGGGCGCCUGGGCGCGAAUUAUGCAGAAAAAUCAGAUUUUGGUUCAGCAAUGCAAGAGUCACCCAGAACAUACAACAAUAUUAUCAACACAGCUUUCAACAAUCUAACUAAGCCACAAGCAGAGUUCAACAAAAAGAACACCAAAAAUACAAGUUCAAAAAAAAAUGAAAAGGAAAAAGAGUUAUCCAUACUUGAGUUGGAGUGGAUGGGAGUGAUUGUUGUGGAGACCGGACCUUGAGUGGAAUUGGUGAGUGGGUUAGGGGUUGUGGGGGAGAGGAAAAGUUUAGGAAAGGGAAGGGGAGAAUGGGUGGGUUGCAGUUGUUGAAAAAUAUAGGGUGAGUGGGAGAGAGGGUUAGGGUUUGAAAAUGAAAAGGGAGUGGCAGUGAGAGGGAAGAACGUGAGAGGACCUUGGUGGUGGUUGGGGCAAUGAAGAAGUGGAGAGGAAAAUGGGUGAGUGGUGCUGAAGAAAGGGGCGCUAGGGUUAGAGUGUGUGAGAGAGGCGUAAGGGGGAAAGGGGUGCUGGGGUUAACAAAGGAUUGGGCCAAGCGCUGUGCAAAAGAGGCCCAACUCAGAGAUCAGUUUUCUGCCAAGCCCACGCUGAGCGCCCCCCCAUGAGGUGCCUGGGCGCGAGGGGUGCAGCAGAACAGGGGCGCUG
Molecule: long non-coding RNA, 809 nt
Filed under: Vigna radiata
Lineage: Eukaryota; Viridiplantae; Streptophyta; Magnoliopsida; Fabales; Fabaceae
Description: long non-coding RNA (VRAD_LNC004982)
Source: RNAcentral